AUUGAACGCUGGCGGUAUGCUUAACACAUGCAAGUCGAACGGAAACGAUGGAAGCUUGCUUCCAGGCGUCGAGUGGCGGACGGGUGAGUAACGCGUAGGAAUCUGCCCAGUAGUGGGGGACAACUCGGGGAAACCCGAGCUAAUACCGCAUAAUCCUUACGGGGAAAAGGAGGCCUCUUCUUGAAAGCUUUCGCUAUUGGAUGAGCCUGCGUGAGAUUAGCUAGUUGGUAGGGUAAAGGCCUACCAAGGCGACGAUCUCUAGCUGGUCUGAGAGGACGAUCAGCCACACUGGGACUGAGACACGGCCCAGACUCCUACGGGAGGCAGCAGUGGGGAAUAUUGGACAAUGGGGGCAACCCUGAUCCAGCAAUACCGCGUGUGUGAAGAAGGCCUUAGGGUUGUAAAGCACUUUCAGCAGUGAAGAAAAGCUUAAGGUUAAUACCCUUGAGUGUUGACGUUAACUGCACAAGAAGCACCGCUAACU
This 484-nucleotide ribosomal RNA is filed under the name uncultured bacterium. RNAcentral describes it as "bacterial SSU rRNA". It matches the Rfam family "Bacterial small subunit ribosomal RNA", at positions 30 to 502 of the family's 1533-position model. The record is from RNAcentral.